Nylanderia fulva is the source of this 394-nucleotide non-coding RNA. The record is from RefSeq and is a predicted model, not a curated record. Lineage: Eukaryota; Metazoa; Arthropoda; Insecta; Hymenoptera; Formicidae.
AUAUGUGAUCCUUCAGAUAAAUGUUACGUAUUGGCACCGCAUUGGGGUUAACUGUCGUACACCGCUGCCAAGGAGGAGGAGAAGAUCUUAUAAUGUGUUGUUUCUGAAAAACAUGCAGAUAACAAUUAACAAUGACUGAGAGCAAAUUAUUCUAAUGCAAUUUUAUCCAUGUGGACUAAGAUUUACUCUUUCCUUUCCAAUUAUGCUGGCCAUGCAAUUUAGUUCAAUUAGAAAUGAUCCAAGCUCAAUAAAUAUAUCUGUCAACAGUCAAGAAAUUUUGGAUAUAUUUUUUACAAAGGCAUAAAUACAAAAUGAUAGUUUAGUGAUGUGCCUUUAUAUUCGGUGUUUCAACUUUACUAUGACGAAAUUAUCUUGACAUUUUGAAGAAAAAUUA